CCCUAUGGGGUGCAGCAGGCGAGAAACCUUUGCAAUGUGCGCAAGCACGACAAGGUUAAUCCGAGUGUUUCCUGCUAAAGGAAUCUUUUGUUAGUUGUAAAACCACUGAUGAAUAAGGGGUGGGCAAGUUCUGGUGUCAGCCGCCGCGGUAAAACCAGCACCUCAAGUGGUCAGGAUGAUUAUUGGGCCUAAAGCAUCCGUAGCCUGUUCUGUAAGUUUCCGGUUAAAUCCAUUAGCUCAACUAAUGGGCUGCCGAAAAUACUGCAAAACUAGGGAGUGGGAGAGGUAGACGGUACUCGGUAGGAAGGGGUAAAAUCCUUUGAUCUAUUGAUGACCACCUGUGGCGAAGGCGGUCUACCAGAACACGUCCGACGGUGAGGGAUGAAAGCUGGGGGAGCAAACCGGAUUAGAUACCCGGGUAGUCCCAGCUGUAAACUAUGCAAACUCAGUGAUGCAUUGGCUUGAUGCCAAUGCAGUGCUGCAGGGAAGCCGUUAAGUUUGCCGCCUGGGAAGUACGUACGCAAGUAUGAAACUUAAAGGAAUUGGCGGGGGAGCACCACAAGGGGUGAAGCCUGCGGUUCAAUUGGAGUCAACGCCAGAAAUCUUACCCGGAGAGACAGCAGAAUGAAGGUCAAGCUGAAGACUUUACCAGACAAGCUGAGAAGAGGUGCAUGGCCCAC
Molecule: ribosomal RNA, 680 nt
Filed under: uncultured marine group I thaumarchaeote
Lineage: Archaea; Thermoproteati; Nitrososphaerota
Description: bacterial SSU rRNA
Rfam family: Archaeal small subunit ribosomal RNA
Source: RNAcentral